This 1524-nucleotide ribosomal RNA is filed under the name Methylacidiphilales bacterium. Its description in RNAcentral is "bacterial SSU rRNA". It matches the Rfam family "Bacterial small subunit ribosomal RNA". The record is from RNAcentral. Lineage: Bacteria; Pseudomonadati; Verrucomicrobiota; Methylacidiphilae; Methylacidiphilales.
UUUUCGGAGAGUUUGAUUCUGGCUCAGAACGAACGCUGGCGGCGUGGAUAAGACAUGCAAGUCGAACGGGAUUAAAUGGGUAGCAAUAUUCGUUUAAUUCAGUGGCGAACGGGUGCGUAACACGUGGGAAUCUUCCCGGAAGUGGGGAAUAGCUCGCCGAAAGGCGAAUUAAUACCGCAUAUGAUCGCGAGAUCAAAGCGGGGGACCGCAAGGCCUCGCGCUUCCGGAUGAGCCCGCGGCCUAUCAGCUAGUUGGCGAGGUAAAAGCUCACCAAGGCGAUGACGGGUAGCUGGUCUGAGAGGACGACCAGCCACACUGGGACUGAGACACGGCCCAGACACCUACGGGUGGCAGCAGUCGAGAAUCUUUCACAAUGGGGGCAACCCUGAUGGAGCGACGCCGCGUGGAGGAUGAAGGGAUUCGUCUUGUAAACUCCUGUCACCACAGAACAAGGUCUGUGUGUUAACAGCACUGCAGAUUUGAUGGUAUGUGGAGAGGAAGGGACGGCUAACUCUGUGCCAGCAGCCGCGGUAAUACAGAGGUCCCAAGCGUUGUUCGGAUUCACUGGGCGUAAAGGGUGCGUAGGAGGCCGGGAAAGUCUGAUGUGAAAUCCCACCGCUUAACGGUGGAAUGGCAUUGGAUACUACUUGGCUGGAGGACUGGAGGGGAAAGCGGAAUUCCUGGUGUAGCGGUGAAAUGCGUAGAUAUCAGGAGGAACACCAACGGCGAAGGCAGCUUUCUGGACAGUUCCUGACUCUGAGGCACGAAGGCCAGGGGAGCAAACGGGAUUAGAUACCCCGGUAGUCCUGGCAGUAAACGGUGCUCAUUAGGUGUAGGCGGAUUCGACCCCGUCUGUGCCGAAGGUAACCCAUUAAAUGAGCCGCCUGGGGAGUACGGUCGCAAGAUUAAAACUCAAAGAAAUUGACGGGGGCCCGCACAAGCGGUGGAGUAUGUGGCUUAAUUCGAUGCAACGCGAAGAACCUUACCUGGUCUUGACAUGCAUUGUUCAUCCGGCGAAAGCCGGUGGCCCGCAAGGGCGAAUUGCACAGGUGCUGCAUGGCUGUCGUCAGCUCGUGUCGUGAGAUGUUGGGUUAAGUCCCGCAACGAGCGCAACCCCUGUGGUUAGUUAUACGUCCGCAAGGACUCACUAGCCAGACUGCCCUGUUUAACGGGGAGGAAGGUGGGGACGACGUCAAGUCAGGAUGGCCCUUAUGACCAGGGCUGCACACGUACUACAAUGCCCACUACAGAGGGACGCAAAGCCGCAAGGUAGAGCCAAUCCCAGAAAAGUGGGCCCAGUUCGGAUUGGAGGCUGCAACUCGCCUCCAUGAAGUUGGAAUCGCUAGUAAUGGCGCAUCAGCUACGGCGCCGUGAAUACGUUCCCGGGCCUUGUACACACUGCCCGUCACAUCAUGAAAGCCGGUUGUACCCGAAGUCGCUUCGGUGCCUAAGGUAUGGCUGGUGAUUGGGAUGAAGUCGUAACAAGGUAGCCGUAGGGGAACCUGCGGCUGGAUCACCUCCUUU